AAACUGCCCCAAGAUUCUAGAACAAGAGGGAAUAGUGGAGAUUGAUAGAAUCCACAGAUCACCUCCUGUACUUAAUACCCAACUGACAACACCCAGGAAUGUUAUAGCCAAAUUCAAGAACUAUCAGACCAAAGAAAAGAUAUUACAAGAUGCCAAGAAGAAGUCAUUCAGAUACCAAGGAACCACAGUGAGGAUAACUCAGGAUCUGGCUGCAUCCACACUGAAAAAAAAGAAAGGCAUAGAAUAUGAUAUUCUGGAAAGCAAGGGAACUGGGUCUACAACCAAGAAUCAACUACCCAGCAAAACUGACUAUAUUCUUACAGGGGAAAGUAUGGUCAUUCAACAAAAUAGAAGAAUUUCAAGAAUUCAUAAAGAAAAGACCAGACCUGAAUAGAAAAUUUGAUGUACAAGCACAGAACUCAAGAGAAUCAUCAAAAGAAGAGACCAUGAUUCCUGCCUUGAAGGAAACAGGAAAAGGGGCCAUGAAGCCAACUGCUUCUUCUCUGCUACAUGAGAGAGGUUCACCAGGCUUUAUAGCUCCAGUUUCUUCUUCAGUAACAUGGUUUGAAGUUCCUUCACCAUCUUGUGUGAUCUUCUCAUGGACAGAAAAGUGUGUUAACGUCCCUCCUAAAGUAGGUAACCAGAAUUGGACCAGCACUAAAAAAAUAAAGAUGAUAAUGAUGAAUUUUAACAACUGGCAUUUUAUAACACUUUAAGGUUUCCAGA
RNAcentral lists this long non-coding RNA (726 nucleotides) under Monodelphis domestica (gray short-tailed opossum). RNAcentral's name for it is "lncRNA (ENSMODG00000050993.1)". Lineage: Eukaryota; Metazoa; Chordata; Mammalia; Didelphimorphia; Didelphidae. The record is from RNAcentral.